CCUACGGGUGGCAGCAGUGGGGAAUAUUGGACAAUGGGCGAAAGCCUGAUCCAGCCAUGCCGCGUGUGUGAAGAAGGCCUUCGGGUUGUAAAGCACUUUCAGUGGGGAAGAAAGCCUUGGGGCUAAUACCCUCGAGGAAGGACAUCACCCACAGAAGAAGCACCGGCUAACUCCGUGCCAGCAGCCGCGGUAAUACGGAGGGUGCGAGCGUUAAUCGGAAUUACUGGGCGUAAAGCGCGCGUAGGCGGUCUGAUAAGCCGGUUGGGAAAGCCCCGGGCUCAACCUGGGAACGGCAUCCGGAACUGUCAGGCUAGAGGGCAGGAGAGGAAGGUAGAAUUCCCGGUGUAGCGGUGAAAUGCGGAGAGAUCGGGAGGAAUACCAGUGGCGAAGGCGGUCUUCUGGACUGACACUGACGCUGGGGUGCGAAAGCGUGGGUAGCAAACAGGAUUAGAUACCCGUGUAGUC
RNAcentral lists this ribosomal RNA (465 nucleotides) under Vreelandella stevensii. RNAcentral describes it as "partial 16S ribosomal RNA". It matches the Rfam family "Bacterial small subunit ribosomal RNA", at positions 338 to 795 of the family's 1533-position model. The record is from RNAcentral. Lineage: Bacteria; Pseudomonadati; Pseudomonadota; Gammaproteobacteria; Oceanospirillales; Halomonadaceae.